UGGGGAAUUUUGGACAAUGGGGGAAACCCUGAUCCAGCCAUCCCGCGUGUGCGAUGAAGGCCUUCGGGUUGUAAAGCACUUUUGGCAGGAAAGAAACGUCGCGGGUUAAUACCCCGCGAAACUGACGGUACCUGCAGAAUAAGCACCGGCUAACUACGUGCCAGCAGCCGCGGUAAUACGUAGGGUGCAAGCGUUAAUCGGAAUUACUGGGGCGUAAAGCGUGCGCAGGCGGUUCGGAAAGAAAGAUGUGAAAUCCCAGAGCUUAACUUUGGAACUGCAUUUUUAACUACCGGGCUAGAGUGUGUCAGAGGGAGGUGGAAUUCCGCGUGUAGCAGUGAAAUGCGUAGAUAUGCGGAGGAACACCGAUGGCGAAGGCAGCCUCCUGGGAUAACACUGACGCUCAUGCACGAAAGCGUGGGGAGCAAACAGGAUUAGAUACCCUGGUAGUCCACGCCCUAAACGAUGUCAACUAGCUGUUGGGGCCUUCGGGCCUUGGUAGCGCAGCUAACGCGUGAAGUUGACCGCCUGGGGGAGUACGGUCGCAAGAUUAAAACUCAAAUGAA
This 563-nucleotide ribosomal RNA is filed under the name uncultured bacterium. Its description in RNAcentral is "partial 16S ribosomal RNA". It matches the Rfam family "Bacterial small subunit ribosomal RNA", at positions 355 to 909 of the family's 1533-position model. The record is from RNAcentral.